ACACAUGCAGUCGAGCGGAUGAAGGGAGCUUGCUCCUGGAUUCAGCGGCGGACGGGUGAGUAAUGCCUAGGAAUCUGCCUGGUAGUGGGGGAUAACGUCCGGAAACGGGCGCUAAUACCGCAUACGUCCUGAGGGAGAAAGUGGGGGAUCUUCGGACCUCACGCUAUCAGAUGAGCCUAGGUCGGAUUAGCUAGUUGGUGGGGUAAAGGCCUACCAAGGCGACGAUCCAUAACUGGUCUGAGAGGAUGAUCAGUCACACUGGAACUGAGACACGGUCCAGACUCCUACGGGAGGCAGCAGUGGGGAAUAUUGGACAAUGGGCGAAAGCCUGAUCCAGCCAUGCCGCGUGUGUGAAGAAGGUCUUCGGAUUGUAAAGCACUUUAAGUUGGGAGGAAGGGCAGUAAGUUAAUACCUUGCUGUUUUGACGUUACCAACAGAAUAAGCACCGGCUAACUUCGUGCCAGCAGCCGCGGUAAUACGAAGGGUGCAAGCGUUAAUCGGAAUUACUGGGCGUAAAGCGCGCGUAGGUGGUUCAGCAAGUUGGAUGUGAAAUCCCCGGGCUCAACCUGGGAACUGCAUCCAAAACUACUGAGCUAGAGUACGGUAGAGGGUGGUGGAAUUUCCUGUGUAGCGGUGAAAUGCGUAGAUAUAGGAAGGAACACCAGUGGCGAAGGCGACCACCUGGACUGAUACUGACACUGAGGUGCGAAAGCGUGGGGAGCAAACAGGAUUAG
RNAcentral lists this ribosomal RNA (734 nucleotides) under Pseudomonas aeruginosa. Its description in RNAcentral is "bacterial SSU rRNA". It matches the Rfam family "Bacterial small subunit ribosomal RNA", at positions 51 to 781 of the family's 1533-position model. The record is from RNAcentral. Lineage: Bacteria; Pseudomonadati; Pseudomonadota; Gammaproteobacteria; Pseudomonadales; Pseudomonadaceae.